AUGCCUAGGAUCUGCCUGGUAGUGGGGGAUAACGUCCGGAAACGGACGCUAAUACCGCAUAMGUCCUACGGGAGAAAGCAGGGGACCUUCGGGCCUUGCGCUAUCAGAUGAGCCUAGGUCGGAUUAGCUAGUUGGUGGGGUAAUGGCUCACCAAGGCGACGAUCCGUAACUGGUCUGAGAGGAUGAUCAGUCACACUGGAACUGAGACACGGUCCAGACUCCUACGGGAGGCAGCAGUGGGGAAUAUUGGACAAUGGGCGAAAGCCUGAUCCAGCCAUGCCGCGUGUGUGAAGAAGGUCUUCGGAUUGUAAAGCACUUUAAGUUGGGAGGAAGGGCAGUAAAUUAAUACUUUGCUGUUUUGACGUUACCGACAGAAUAAGCACCGGCUAACUCUGUGCCAGCAGCCGCGGUAAUACAGAGGGUGCAAGCGUUAAUCGGAAUUACUGGGCGUAAAGCGCGCGUAGGUGGUUCGUUAAGUUGGAUGUGAAAUCCCCGGGCUCAACCUGGGAACUGCAUUCAAAACUGACGAGCUAGAGUAUGGUAGAGGGUGGUGGAAUUUCCUGUGUAGCGGUGAAAUGCGUAGAUAUAGGAAGGAACACCAGUGGCGAAAGCGACCACCUGGACUGAUACUGACACUGAG
This 640-nucleotide ribosomal RNA is filed under the name Pseudomonas brenneri. Its description in RNAcentral is "bacterial SSU rRNA". The record is from RNAcentral. Lineage: Bacteria; Pseudomonadati; Pseudomonadota; Gammaproteobacteria; Pseudomonadales; Pseudomonadaceae.